UACGAAGGGGGCUAGCGUUGUUCGGAAUUACUAGGCGUAAAGGGCGCGUAGGCGGCCAAUCAAGUUAGGCGUGAAAUCCCUGGGCUUAACCUAGGAACUGCGUUUAAUACUGGUUGGCUAGAGAUUGGUAGAGGAAAGUGGAAUUCCUAGUGUAGAGGUGAAAUUCGUAGAUAUUAGGAAGAACACCAGAGGCGAAGGCGACUUUCUGGGCCAAUACUGACGCUGAGGCGCGAAAGCGUGGGGAGCAAACAGG
Molecule: ribosomal RNA, 253 nt
Filed under: uncultured bacterium
Lineage: Bacteria
Description: partial 16S ribosomal RNA
Rfam family: Bacterial small subunit ribosomal RNA
Source: RNAcentral